GACGAGGAGCUUGCUCCUCUGACGUUAGCGGCGGACGGGUGAGUAACACGUGGAUAACCUACCUAUAAGACUGGGAUAACUUCGGGAAACCGGAGCUAAUACCGGAUAAUAUAUUGAACUGCAUGGUUCAAUAGUGAAAGACGGUUUUGCUGUCACUUAUAGAUGGAUCCGCGCCGCAUUAGCUAGUUGGUAAGGUAACGGCUUACCAAGGCAACGAUGCGUAGCCGACCUGAGAGGGUGAUCGGCCACACUGGAACUGAGACACGGUCCAGACUCCUACGGGAGGCAGCAGUAGGGAAUCUUCCGCAAUGGGCGAAAGCCUGACGGAGCAACGCCGCGUGAAUGAUGAAGGUCUUCGGAUCGUAAAACUCUGUUAUUAGGGAAGAACAAAUGUGUAAGUAACUAUGCACGUCUUGACGGUACCUAAUCAGAAAGCCACGGCUAACUACGUGCCAGCAGCCGCGGUAAUACGUAGGUGGCAAGCGUUAUCCGGAAUUAUUGGGCGUAAAGCGCGCGUAGGCGGUUUUUUAAGUCUGAUGUGAAAGCCCACGGCUCAACCGUGGAGGGUCAUUGGAAACUGGAAAACUUGAGUGCAGAAGAGGAAAGUGGAAUUCCAUGUGUAGCGGUGAAAUGCGCAGAGAUAUGGAGGAACACCAGUGGCGAAGGCGACUUUCUGGUCUGUAACUGACGCUGAUGUGCGAAAGCGUG
Molecule: ribosomal RNA, 708 nt
Filed under: uncultured Staphylococcus sp.
Lineage: Bacteria; Bacillati; Bacillota; Bacilli; Caryophanales; Staphylococcaceae
Description: bacterial SSU rRNA
Rfam family: Bacterial small subunit ribosomal RNA
Source: RNAcentral